GCAAAAGUCGUAACACGGUUUCCGUAGGUGAACCUGCGGAAGGAUCAUUCACACAUUUUCGGUCGCGCGAACAAAAGGAGCCUCUCUCUCCUCCGUUCACUCCUUUCUGCUGCAAUUCGGUGGAAUGUGGGGUGUGCAGAUGGUCGGGUGUGAUGGCUGGCCGACUGGAAUCCUUUUUGAACCUUUUUAAUUCCUCCCAACCUUUGAAUCGGUUAAGAGUUUUCUUCCCACGACGAGUUUUCUUUGAGAAUAAAAGAGAUGUGUUGCGCAGGUGGCUGCUCGCUCGUUGAGAGUGGCUGGGCUGCAUGCUGCGCGCAUGCGAAGAGAGAAAAAAGGACCCAAAACUUUCA
This 350-nucleotide unclassified non-coding RNA is filed under the name Eimeria innocua. RNAcentral describes it as "sequence contains 18S rRNA gene, ITS1 and 5.8S rRNA gene". The stretch from base 1 to 50 matches the Rfam family "Eukaryotic small subunit ribosomal RNA", at positions 1782 to 1831 of the family's 1831-position model. The record is from RNAcentral. Lineage: Eukaryota; Apicomplexa; Conoidasida; Eucoccidiorida; Eimeriidae.